GACGGAUUUCUCUCCGUUCAGUUUCACCUUGAUUUGUCCCUGCGUUGACGGAAAUUCAUCGCCGCUGUCUUUUCUGAGCAAAACCUAAAACAUUCACGUGAAAGAAGCAAAGUGCUGAAAAACUACGCCGUGAGUGAGUGGAGCAAGACGGGCAGCACGAGCACAGCUGCGGCAGAUGUGGAGCCCGUGAUUGACAGUUGCGCUGGUCCCACUGACAUCUCUGAUCUGUCCUUACUCCCAGAGAUUGUGAUCUUCUUGAUGGAUCUGGACACGGCAGAGGGAGAGGUGACGUUCUGGUUCAGCUGGUCCUCGGCUGCCAUGUCCUCCUGUUUGUGUGUGACGGGGGCUACUUGCUUGACGAUGGGCGAGACGAGACAGGGGCCAUGUGCACAGACCUGCGAUCGGCUGAGGCAAGUGGAGGGUUGAGCAGAAAGUGGAGGGAGAGCUCAGUUCUCCACCUUCUUGUGCAUGUUGAGAAUGCACAGCACACAGCCCAGGACGGCUUCCUUGGACUCCUGGGAUCGAAUGCGGUCCCAGACG
Long non-coding RNA from Acanthopagrus latus (yellowfin seabream), 540 nucleotides. RefSeq lists it as uncharacterized. The transcript has 3 exons. The record is from RefSeq and is a predicted model, not a curated record. Lineage: Eukaryota; Metazoa; Chordata; Actinopteri; Spariformes; Sparidae.